This 508-nucleotide ribosomal RNA is filed under the name uncultured bacterium. Its description in RNAcentral is "partial 16S ribosomal RNA". It matches the Rfam family "Bacterial small subunit ribosomal RNA", at positions 28 to 523 of the family's 1533-position model. The record is from RNAcentral.
GAUGAACGCUGGCGGGAUGCUUUACACAUGCAAGUCGAACGGUAGCACGAAGAAAGCUUGCUUUCUUUGGUGACGAGUGGCGAACGGGUGAGUAAUGUAUCGGAACGUACCCAGUAGCGGGGGAUAACUACGCGAAAGCGUGGCUAAUACCGCAUACGCCCUACGGGGGAAAGGGGGGGAUCGCAAGACCUCUCACUAUUGGAGCGGCCGAUAUCGGAUUAGCUAGUUGGUGGGGUAAAGGCCCACCAAGGCGACGAUCCGUAGCUGGUUUGAGAGGACGACCAGCCACACUGGGACUGAGACACGGCCCAGACUCCUACGGGAGGCAGCAGUGGGGAAUUUUGGACAAUGGGGGCAACCCUGAUCCAGCCAUCCCGCGUGUGCGAUGAAGGCCUUCGGGUUGUAAAGCACUUUUGGCAGAGAAGAAACGACUCUGGAUAAUACCCGGGGUUAAUGACGGUAUCUGCAGAAUAAGCACCGGCUAACUACGUGCCAGCCGCCGCCGUAA